Gymnodraco acuticeps is the source of this 1184-nucleotide long non-coding RNA. RefSeq lists it as uncharacterized. Lineage: Eukaryota; Metazoa; Chordata; Actinopteri; Perciformes; Bathydraconidae. The record is from RefSeq and is a predicted model, not a curated record. The transcript is spliced from 8 exons.
GAGACAUUUCCAUUCCUUAUAUGCAAAUGAACGGGGCGUGGUUAGCUCACAGGUCCAGAGACCCAGACCAAAGCAACAGCACCACACUGACUACUCGAGAAGAGGAAGAAAAUGGAGGAGAAGGACUAUAAGGCAAACUACUAAAUGAAAAUAACAACAUGGAAGACGUCGGUGGGCUCCAAGACUUAACUGGUUCUUAUCUGGUCUUCUCUGGUCUUAUCUGGUCCGCCCAAUGCUGCUCUUCUGAGAGCAACCGCUCUGACAGCUCUCUCUAGUCUCUACUGGGAAACAGCUAAAAGUCCUUCUGGAGGUAAGCAACGCUACACAAUUACACCCAGUCUGAGAGUAAAAUAUGUCUCGAAGGCUUUGCAUUUGAACUCCUAUGACUGGUUGCGGACUUGAAGGGAACGCCUUCCUGACAUCCAGGAAAAAGUUUUAUUGGACAGGCAGUAGAGAUCUACUGGAAACAGUGGAGAGGGAGGAGAUGAUAUGCAGCAUACGGCCCAGCUGGAUGGUUGCUGCUCCGUGUGGAACGUGUCCUAUCAGGUGUAACAUCUACCAAUGGUUGUACAUGACAGAGACCUCCUCCGCCUCUUUGCUGUCUUACUAGUCAAUCCUUCUGAUCAGGUCCUUUCCUAAAUAGUGAAAGGAUCAUGCCAGCCCACAUCAAACACCUGAUCAAGAGCUUGUGAACCUCACUGCUGCAGACACCUGUGUGAUAUUCCACUCUGACUGGAACCCUCAAAAUGACCUGCAGGCUCAAGCUCGGUGUCAUCGUUUUGGCCAGUCUAAGGCGGUGGAGGUGUACCGUCUGAUCACUAGAAACUAUGAGAGGGAAAUGCUGGAUAAAGCUAGUCUGAAGCUCGGGCUGGACCGUCCCGUCCUGCAGAGCAUGAGUGGCAACAACAACGGGCCGGUCCAGCAGUUCUCCAAGAAGGAGAUCGAGGACCUGCUGAGGAAAGGAGCCUACGCCGCCAUCAUGGACGAGAACGACGAAGGCAAUCGCUUCUGCUAGGAGGACAUCGACCAGAUCCUGCAGCGAAGAGCCACCAUCAACACCAUCACCAGUUUGCUUCAAGCAGUGGCUGCACGAGAAAGACGUGGAGGACCAAGAAAUGCUGGCCAGAUUGGCAAAGACCGGAAGAUACAUAACAGAGAAGAUAAUGGAUAUUAACAAGAAAAAU